RNAcentral lists this long non-coding RNA (14057 nucleotides) under Marmota monax (woodchuck). Lineage: Eukaryota; Metazoa; Chordata; Mammalia; Rodentia; Sciuridae. The record is from RNAcentral.
GGGGCUGCCCGGGGGUGGGGACCUGCCGUGUGGCGGGGGGCGCUGUGUCCCUUCUGCCUGCCCCUCGGCCCCUCUUUGAGCCUCAGAAAUCUCGAGGAUGCUGGAGUAGAUGGCCUCUGGGCUCCUCACGUCCUCAGGGAUCUGGAGGGACCUUGGGAGCCAGAGGUGGCAGACGGUGACGUGUGUGAGCCCCCAAGGGCUGUGUCCCCAUCACAGGACCCGCCUUGGGCUCUGUGGGUCUGUCCUGGGCCAGAGGACGCGUGCCCUACCAAGGCCCCCACGGUCACCCAUGGCUACCGGUCCACUGUCCAUCAUCGCCGCCCGACCUCUGCCCACCAGCUCCUGAGGCGUGGGCGCUGUGCCCCAUGUGACCCACGUGACCGAGGCUCACCCGUCCUCUCCCAUCCCCUCAGGUCUUCCCCCCGUUCAGGCUGAUUCCCAGGAGGGUGACGCUGAUCAUCGGGGCCACGAUGCAGGUAGGAGCCGAGGCCUGUCCCUCCCACUCAUGUCCCCAGCGGGUCCCAGCGAGGAGGCCACCGCCCCGCCUCAGGACAAGCCCGCCUGUGGCCUCUGCUGGCCCGAGGGUGGACGUUCCUGACGCGUGUGCAGGUGCCCACGAAGCCACGCGUCUGCCCCGCAGGUCACCCCUGAGGGCGGUCCCCAGCCGCAGUCCCACAUCCUCUUCUCCAUCAGCAAUGCCAGCGUGGCCACCGUGGGCAGCACAGGGCUGGUCCGUGGCCUGGCCGUGGGCAGCAGCACCAUGUCGGGCGUCGUGCAAGCGGCGGACGCGGACACUGGCAAGGUCAUCGUGGGCUCCCAGGUAUCCCUGAGCCCGUGGUGGCCGGCACCGGCCACGCCUGGGGUGGGGAGCCCUGCGGGUUGGUGCCCUGGGUCCAGGCAGCCCCGUGUGGCCAGCGGUGCCAGGCACUCCUGGGGACCUGCCCCUGAACCUACUGUCCUUAUGUGUCCCCUCCUGGGACAAACUGCCCAUGUGGGCCCCGUCCCCGGGUGCCUCCUGCAGGCCGAGGCUCCCAGGUCUCCUGUGGCGGGCCAGGCCACCACCCCACCCCGUGCCCCCAGUGGGUGGACGCUGUGCGGUCCUCUCCUCGGUCCUCAGCUCUGUGCCUCUGGCUCCCAUUUGCAGAGAGCCCCUGGAGUGACCAGCCAGUGGCCCUGUCCUCGUGUGGCAGGUCUGGGACGUGGCCAGGCUCUUGGUCUUGCUGGCUCAUUCCCAGUGGGGUUUGAUUAUGUGCCAGGGACAGAGGAGGGGACACUGUGUGGGUGACAGUGUGCGUGCGCUCAGGGUCGUGCCCCAAGUGUGGCAGAUUGAGAAUCAGUCAGGGGUGGCACCUCCAGGAGGGACCGUGAGCCACCUGCCACAGUCAGGUGUCCCCAAGCCUCUGCUGGGGGGACAGGCCUGAUUGCUCCUCCUGGUCACCAGACAGCUGUCCCUGCUGGGCGGGCCUCCUGCCCCGCCUGCAUGGGGGGCUCCAGGCCGGGAGUCAGCAUCCGGGGUCCGCUGCCUUUCCCGGGGGUCGGGCACCUCCAUCUCCUGGAGUGGAGGCCGGGUAAUCUCCACGGCUGUGAGAGGCUCAGGGGUACCCCAGAGGCCCUGGUGCCCCUGGCAUCCUUCGGCCGUGGUGACCCAGGCCCUCAGGUGCAGGUUGGGGUCCCGCUGCCGGCCACACUGAGCGCUGGGGGCUGAGGACAGCCCCGUGGGCACGCAGGGCCACCAGGGAGGAGGGCCUCUUCAGAUCUCAGCCGGCGUCCCUCGCCCAGAAGCGGGUCCCCUCCGAGCAGCCCGAGCCCUCUGAGCUCAGGGCGUGUGAUCCUGCUUCCCAGGCGGACUUUGAUCCAACCAUGAGUCCACUGAUGGACUCCUCUGCCCGCAGCUUCAGUGCGGGCUUCCAAGCAUCCGGGUGACCACAGAGGCUUUGUGAGCACCAGGGGACGCCAUGACCCUCUUCCGUGCCAACAGACGCAGGGCAGCCCUGAGCGCCCGGAAACUUCCACGGGGUCCAGAGGCCCCGGGUGCCUUGCUGGCUUCUCUCUCUGGGGGGGACCCGGCUCCUCCUCUCUGGGGCCAGGCAGAGGACGACAGCCCUGUCCCCUCCCCUCUGCCCUUCUUCCCUGUGGCCUGGCCUUGCUGGCCCCCUUGCCCCCUGGACCCACGUCCAUGUCGAGCUGUGUCUGGUCAAAGCAUCCAGGACCAGCUGUCCAACCCCAGCUCAGAAUCAGCACCCCAACCUGCUGGGUGGUCCUGCUGGGUGGCCCAGGCCUCUUAGUGGAAAUGGACCAGAGAAGGAGGACCCGGGGCAGGUGGGAGAGUGAGUGCUUUUCAGGACCAGCUGAGUGCCAAGGAUUGACAGCAGUCAGGAGGCACAGGGUCCCCUUGAGCCUGUCAGCAGGCCUGGAGGGGUUAGUAGCCUGAGCACAGCCCAGGUCAGCUGCGCAGGUCAGCAGACCACUGAAGUGGGCAUUUGGUCAGAUCAACAGAAGCAUGGAGAUGAGAAUGUGGGAGUAUGUGCAGUCUGUUCUCACCGCACCCUGUGGCUCCUGUGUGCCUCCCUGUGUCCUGAGUCAGGGAGAAGGACGAGCUGGAUUUGGGGUUGAGUGGACCUAGAGACCUGUCCUGCGAGGGCCACCCGCUGAGAGAACAGGCCCCAGCAAGCCUGCCAUGCUAACAUGGGUCAGCUGGGCCGCUAGGCCUCGAGGCUCAGGGGCCAGAUGGGGACUUUGAAGGGCCCGCAGCCUGAGCCCAGUCUCUUCCCAGGACCUGGUGGAGCUAGAGGUGGUGCAGCUGCGGGCGGUGAGGAUCCGCGCACCCAUCACGCGCAUGAGGACGGGCACCCAGGUGAGGACCAGUCGGGAUGGGGCUCCGUGUUCUGGUUCUGACGAAGCCAUUGUGAGGGCACUUCCCUGGGCCAGAGCCACGUGUCCAUGGUGCCCAGCUUAGGCUCGGUUCUGGGCCUGGGGUGGGGUGGGCGUGCAACACAAGCAUAGCGUCUCCCCUUGGGGUCCACCUGGCCUCCUCCCUGAGGGCGAGGCUGCCCAUCCCCCACCUUGGAUAGCACCUGGAUAGCAGGAGCCCCUACCCCGUGCACCUGUGAGGUUGGCCGGUGAGCGAUGGACGUGGAUACCCCGAGUCCUGUGCACAGCCAGGGCUGCUGUCCUUGGCACCCAGGAGGUCUGCUUCCCAGAGCUCCUGCCAAUACCAAGACCUAAGAGUGCCCUCGUCCUUCAUGUGAAGCGCCCCGUGGGUGCAGGGGCCUGUGUGUCCUCCCAUGCACCUGGGGUUGUCCCCAAUGUCCCCAGCAUCCCCAGGGCGAGUCAGACAGUUCUCAGGCCUGUGCAGCUGGUUGUGGGUGUGGCUAGCACUGCGUGUCCCCAGUCUGCCACCUGGAGUCGGGCUGGGGGCCAGCUGGUGGCCGGCUCACCUACGCCUGCCCACAGGCUGAAGGAGCCAGGCUGCCGGUGUCCACGCCCCACAAGGCCUGGGAGGGUCAGCAGGAGGGUGCGGACCUCGGCAGCAUGGGCUGAGUGGCCAGGGGUGUCCGCAUGCCUCCUGCAGCCCCAGGGGUCUUUCCAGAAAUGGACCUGGUCAUGAACAGCCCCUGGCAGGGAGGGACAGGCCGGUCCCCGGUGGUUGGACUAUCUGGUGUUUGGUCAUGGCUCCCAGAACCUAUGUCCGGCCUGGGGUGGACAUGGGCAGAUAGGCAGAGCUCCAGGAGGAGGGUCCCCAGCCUGGGUGCGUGGGUGCUCACAGGCCCGGCUCUCUCACCCCCAGAUGCCCGUCUAUGUCACUGGGAUCACCAACAACCAGAGCCCUUUCUCCUUUGCAAACGCCGUGCCAGGCCUGACCUUCCGCUGGUCGGUCACCAAGCGCGACAUCUUGGAGCUCCGCGGACGGCACCACGAGGUAGGGCCCAGCCUGCCUCCCGGAGGGCGGGCGGCCUCAUCGCCCCGGGGGCCUGUCCCAGGGCAGGGGACACAGGGCCCGCUGCAGGACACACUGUGGCUUAUCACAGACGUCCUGCAGUGGGCCCUGUGGGGGACCCCACAAAACCCAGCAGCCCCCACAUAACACUCCCACGCACACACAGGGCUCCAGGCCCUGCUCAGUGACCCCGCGUCCCAGGCACCAUGCAGAGUGGCCGGUGGCCUUGUGUGGGUGACUGCCGUCUGUGUGGCCCUGGGUCAGCAGAUCUGACCCCGGCCGAGGGCAGUGGCCUUGGGGAAGAGGGUGCCCCCAGGCCUGUCCCUGAGCCCGCUCUCUGCCUUCCAGGCGUCCGUCCAGCUGCCCUCGCAGUACAACUUCACCAUGAGCCUGCUCGGCCGGGCGACGGGCCGCACGGGGCUGAGGGUGGUGGUCAAGUCCCUGGACCCCUUGGCGGGACAGCUGCACGGCCUUGCCAAGGAGCUCUCAGACGAGAUCCAGGUCCAGGUACUGACGGGACAUAGCCGUGAGGGCAGCAGACAGCGCAGGGGCCUGGCCCAGAGCUCCUGGGCCCCUGGUGUGGGGGACCCUCGCUGCACUGAGGGGCUGCGCCUGCCUGGGGAGGACGGGCAGAGGGGGUGUGUGUCACCCUGGGGGGAGCCCAAGGGUGGUGUCGCCAGACUGCAUGGAGGGACUCUGCGGGUGGCAGGGUUGGCUGCAGAUCUGAGCAGCAAAGGCCUGGUGACCGGGAACAGCCUGUGGGUUCCAGGAACAGCAGCUGGGCCUAGUUCAGGAGAGGGCGGGGCCUGCUCAGGGGAGGGUGGAGCCUGCUCAGGGGAGGGUGGAGUCUGCUCAGGGGAUGGCGGAGCCUGCUCAGGGGAGGGUGGAGCCUGCUCAGGGGAGGGUGGAGUCUGCUCAGGGGAGGGUGGGGCCUGGUUCAGGGGAGGGCGGAGCCUGCUCAGGGGAGGGUGGAGCCUACUCAGGGGAGGGCAGAGCCUGCUUAGGUGGUCAGUGGACCUGCUUGUGGUCAGGGGUCAGGCCUUGGGUGGGGCCUCAUGACACAGGACCAGCUGCCUGGAGGGCAGGGAGCCAGCUGCCCUAUGUGGUCUGGAGAGGGAAUGUAGGUGGUGGGCUCCCUAGGAGUCCUGCUGCCCCUGUGUCCUCCAGGAGCCCUCGAGCAUGGCAGAGGGGAGGGAGCCGGAUGGGCCACAGCAGAGAGAGAGGCUUGUUCUGAGAUGGCGACAGGGACAGGAUGUCUCAGUGGCGGGGGUCCCCUGAGCAGGACGCCGGGCCUGAUCUCCCUGCUGUGGAGUCUCCUGUGACGGGGGCCGAGGCCGAGGCCGAGGGUGAAGCCGGGUGGCCCAGCUCCCACGGGGUGCAGACAGCUGCUGCUCCUGGGCUGGGCCACCAGCCCCAUCGUGUCCCCAGCCAUGGGGCAGAUAGUCUGCCGUUGGUCUCGUCCUGGCCCCCAGCCCCCACUUGUGGAUAAGGGGAUUCAGGCGUGCCGUGGGAGACCCAGCUCACCCUCUUUCCCAGGUUUUCGAGAAGCUGCGGCUGCUGAACCCCGAGAUAGAAGCAGAACAAAUAUUAAUGUCCCCCAACUAGUUUAUCAAGCUCCAGACAAACAGGUACGUGUCCCGGCUCCUGUUCACAGCAGGGCUGGGAGCUGCCCCCCCAUGCCCAUCUGGACACCACGGGGCCUUCUGGGCACUGGGCUGGACCUGGGUGGCCACUGCCCAUCUCUGGCCUCCUCCGGGGCCGCCCGCCUACCGCAGCCUAGAAACAUCUCCCACUCACGGGGGAAGCUCGGGGUUGAAAAGGGGAACAAGUUCCAACUUGGACUGUUAAAUAUUUCAAAUGACUCAGAAGCGGAGCCCAUGAAUUAACCAGAGCGGCCUCACCUGGGACCAGGUCAAGUGCGCCUCGCAGCCUUGCCCAGACCCGCAAGGACAAAGCUGCCCUGUAAUGAGGUCCCUGGGCAGUGGCCAUGCACAUUAACGUCUGAAAAGUGCACCUUUAAAGGUUCUGAGCAGGCGUGAUUCCCACCUGACCCUCACAGGGACAGGGACACUUUUCCUAAGGAGCAUUUGCGCUUAAGUGGCAGUUGCUAAGGGCCCGGGGGCCGAGUUCCAUGUUUUAUGAACGCACACCCAGGGAGUGUUCAGCCGGAAGUAACUCAGUGCCCAGCACUGUGCUAGGCCCCAGGAAUGCAGGCAGAGGUGGAUGGCACGAGGUGACAUCAGGUGACAGCAGGCGUCCUGCAGGAGCCCACCAAGAAAGGGGCCACACGGCCAAGCCAGGGCUCAAGUAAGAGCUGCUGGCCCCCAGAUUUAGGGGAGCCGCGGCCCAGAUCACCUGGAGGGCUGGCCGCAGAGGAGAGGGCACAGGACACCACAGGACGUCCCCUGGCUCAGUGCCUGCUGACGGUGUCCGUGACCCCUCUCAGGGUCCAGUGAGCAGCCCCAGAAAUAGGACGGGGCACUCGGCCUCCCCUUUCAGAGCUGACGAAACCGAGGCCAGAGAGAAGGCGGAGGAAGCUCUAGACCACCUCGGACCUGUCCCCACCUGGAUCCUGUCCCCACCAGGGUCCUGUCCCCGCCCCAGUCCUGCCCCCGCCCCGCACUCUCCACCGCACCAGGCGGCCUGACCUCAGUGACCGUUAGCUGCAGAAGCCAUCUUUACCCAUAAAUGACCGUGUCGCUGAUGCAACCGUCCUCAGGGUCUGUCGCCCGCUGCCCGCUGACCCCACGGCCACUCUGAGGAGUGCGUGGCCAUGUUGUCUUCAGAGCCACAGGCUUUCUGGCUUAGGUCUCCUGGGGGUGGCUGACGAGGCUGCCGACGGCGACAGCACACGCUGCACUGCAGGCAGAUGGUCGAUCUCGAGGCAUCGACCAGGGCCGUCCCCCACCCCCGCAGCCAUCUGCAGAAACAGAUGUCUUCUUCCCCAAGGGACGGUGCUGCGGCUCUUUGCUACCGUGUCCUGGAGGGGCCUGAGAAGGUUCCCGUCGUUCAUGCCGAUGAGAGGGGCUUCCUGGUGUCCGGCUCUGUGAUCGGGACGUCCACUGUCAAAGUGACCGCUCAGGAGCCUUUCGGGGCCAACCAGACCAUCAUCAUUGCCGUGAAGGUGGGUGGCACUUGGCCCUGUUUUGGAUAACAAAAUCUAAAGCUCAGAGGCACGUUUUUCCUCUUUCUGGUGUAAAACUGGUUCACCCAGCCGGGGGCCUGCGGUGCACAUCUGUGAUCCCGGGAGCUCAGGAGGCUGAGGCAGGAGGAUCGCCAGUUGGAGGCCAGCCUCAGCAACUUAGCAAGGCCCUGAGCGACUCAGGGAGACCCUAUCUCUAAAUAAAAUACAAAAAGGGCUGGGGAUGGGGCUCAGGGGUUAAGCACCUCUGGGUUCAGUUUCCCAGUACCAAAAAAAAAGAAAAUGUGUUCAUUCUCCAGCUGUAAACCGUGGGUAGGGAUUUACGUAAGAGUCACCCAGGGACAAAUCCUGGGCAGGUGUGUGGCUGUUGGAGCCAAAGACCCCAAGAGGUCACCGAUUCUACCCACCUUGUUUCAUAGAUGGGAAACAAGUCCAAUGAGGGCCUGGAUCAGCCCGGGGGCCCAGGGCUGGUGCCCCGUCCCCCCGGCCCAAGGGUACACUGCCUGACGUGCCUGAUCCCUAACGUGGCCACCCCUGGGAGUGGAGCCCCUGCGGGGGCCACCCAGGGAAGAGCGAGGUCGAUCCUGGACCAAACACUGUGCACUUGCCGGGGACCCCCCACGAUACUUUCAAGCUCAUGAAAGUGGCUAAGUGCUCAUCCUGUUUCAGCACGCACGUGCUGAGCGCUAACUAUACCAGCCACUGCCUCCCGGGACUUUGCGGUGACUUUGGACUGGGGAGGGGUGGCUUUGUGACCAGGAGGUUUCUGCCUGGGAUCCAGAGAGAUUUGUUGAGUUGCGAUUUAUGGGACUCGGGUUCCUCCGUCACCUGGGGCUCCUCUCUGACCCAAGGGGCAUUGUUCCUGCCUCACGUGCCCCAAGAGCCAGGUGACAGCCGGUGGUGCUUAAGCAACGAGCACAGCACUCUGGUCUCUCCAGGUCCUGAUGUGGGUGUCCUGGGUGGCACCCGGGGGACUUGGCCUGCACGGUUGGUGGCGGGAACUGGGUCAUAGGCCUGGCGCUCUGGAGGCCCGUCCCCGGCUCAAGGGUGUCAUCAUAUUGCACCUGUCCUCCAGGUGUCCCCCAUCUCCUACCUGAGGAUGUCCAUGAGCCUGGUCCUGCACACCCAGGACAAGGAGGCCCUGGCGGCCCUGCCUCUGGGGAUGACCAUGACCUUCACCGUCCACUUCCACGACCACUUUGGAGACGUCUUCCACACGCACAGUUCGGUCCUCAGCUUUGCCACCAACAGGUAGGGUGUGGGUGACACUGUUGUCACAGCCCCACCCGGGGUGCCCCUGGUUCCACCCGGUGUGGCGACAGGUGGGGACUUGGGCUCAGCCACCAACAGGACCCAGUGCUGUCCAAUUCAAAUCUGUUUUUAUUUUGGGGUCACUCGUGGUUUCCCAGGUAGGGGCCACCUUGCCUGGCGGAGGGAGCAGACCGUCUCCAGGGUCUGGGGGAGCAGAGGGAGCAUCCUGCCGGUGGUGACCACUGCAGCCUGGGCUUCCCACGGCCGGUGGCCGAGCUGGCAGAGUGGGGCCUUAGGAGACACGGGCACCAGCUGCCCUCUAAGCGCCAGCCGUUUAGCGCGCCCGUCACGCCACGUGGCAGGCACAGUGUCACCGGUGCACAGAGGGGACGUGGCGAGGCUGUCCCACAGCAGAGGCCUUCUCUGGGGGUCACUCUCCUCCUGGCCGCGGCUUCCCUUCUGGGUGUGGGGUGGCGGUGCUGGCCCUGGGUGGCCAGGGGCUGUGGCCUCUCUCCUGCAAGGCGCGAGGAGGCCUGCGAAGCCCUGGGACUCCCUCCAGCUGAGCGCCUCCCUGUCCCCAGAGAGGACUUCGUGCAGGUCACCAAGGGCACCACCAACAACAUCUGCGUACUGCGCACGGUCAGCGUGGGCCUGACGCUGCUGCGCGUGUGGGACCCCGAGCACCCCGGCCUCUCCGACUACGUGCCGCUGCCCGUCCUGCCGGCCAUCGCUCCAGAGCUGCCCGGCACCGUGGUGGUCGGGGAUGUCCUCUGCCUGGCCACUGCGCUCAUGGGCCCCAAGGGUGAGAGUUCCAACCAGGGCGGUCUCGGGGUCACCGUGCCUGCCAGGGUGGGAGGGGGACCCUGGGGUGCCCUGAAGGGGUCAGGAAGGCCACCAGAGGGCCACAUAGGCCAUGUUGGCUUUGGAGAUGUACCUGCCUGGUAGCAGGGCCACUCCCUAGUGGGCGCCUGGGGAGGGUGGCCCUGGGGACAGUUCCCCUGGUGACGGCACCCCUGGGGACGGUCUGCUGGGCAGCCACAGUCCAUAGAGCAGGUGUGCCAGAAGGGGCCACCAGGACGUGGCCACGGAGGCGGGCAGGGAGGCUGAACCACAAGGCCCCUCGUGGGCAGGGGUCAGGAAGAGGUCAUGGGCGGCCGGUCCUCUGUGGGGGGGGGGACGGGUGACAUGGGGCCUCUCCUCCCAGGUGCCCCAGGAACCUGGAGCUCUUCAGCCGACAGCAUCCUCCAGGUCGACCCCAAGACGGUGAUGGCCGUGGCCCGGGACGCGGGGUCCGUGACGGUGCACUACGAGGUCCCCGGGCACCUGAGGACCUAAAAGGAGGUAGGGCAGUGGGCGCCGGGCCUGGCCCACCCUCCGCGGGCAGCGGCGCCCUGGCCUAUGGCUGGGAACGCCUGUCCUUUAAACCAGUACCGUGUGUCCAGGGGUCGGCCAGGACCUGGGUCCCCAAACCUGCAGGUGCUCAGUCAGGUCCCUCACGUGCUACGGCACAGUGUGACCUGUGGCCUGUGCAGCCCUGUGUCCACUCUGAGUCGUCCCCGGGUGGCUGGUGACAGCAGGGAAGCACUGUGUGCCCUGUGACCAUGCUGUGCUGUUCAGGGGGGACAAGACCCCCGGGCCUCCUCCCCAGAGGCCGCUCCUCUCAGGGGAAUCUUAGAAAGACACGCAGGCCACCGAGGCCGCCUGAGUCACCGAGGCCACCUGAGCUGCCUGAGGCCACUGAGGCCACCUGAGGCCACCAAGGGAAGCUCAAUGAUGUGACGUCACCAACAGAGUGAAGCCACAAGGUCACCUUCAGAGCCUUCUAGAGGCAGCAACCCUUUGGCUCCGUGUUUCUGUCCGGCUGAGGACAGGUCAGCGUGGACCCCGGUGGCACAUUAGUGCCAUGCCUGGGUGGCCAAGGACUGGGCGUGUCCUGCCUCCUGGAAGGGCCCAGCAGGCAGGUCCCGGGGCGCAGGGCCCUGGGUGGCUGCUGGAAGGAGGGCUGCACGUCCUGGGCCUGGCCGGUCUCUGGUCAGAUCCUGGAGGCGUGAGGUCUGGGCAGCUGGUCCCGCGGCUGAGCGCAGGUGGCCUCAGGGAGCAGGGCUGGGGUGACCCUGUCCACGUGGCUGACCAGGCGCCCACGGCCCUUCCUGAGGGGAGCCGGGGCAGGGGGUGGGCACCACAGUGGGGGUCACAGGGGGUCCAGGUGGGGUCGCACCUCCACGUGGGGCUGCCAGGAAACCUGGGGCCUCCUGUGUCCCCGAGGGUGGGCGGGACACGGGCUGGGCGCAGGGCUGGGGACGAGGCCCAGCCACAGGCAUCAAGUGGGACACGGACUGGGGCGGAGCCAGGGCCAGGAGUGCUGUCCGGGGCUGUGGUGGUCAGCCCUGUCCAGCUGGCCCCUGGGGACCUGGAAGGAGGCAGUGCCUGGGCUCUGGGGUCAGUGUGGCCUCUGCCUGUGGCCUUCAGUGGGGGUUGAUGACUCCGAGUAAAGGACAGGAGACUAAAGUGGGUCCUCUUUGCUGCGAGGUCAGGUCAGGAGCUCCUGACUGGUGUGUCAUCUGGGUGUCACAGGUGCCAUGAGGUCGAGAGGGGCGCAGGCCGGGUCAUGAGGUCCAGCGGACUGAGUGUACGCUGUGCUGGCCGGGUGGACAGGCCUUGGUCCUGUUGUCACCUGGGGCCAGGUGUCCUCAGGCCGCAGGCUCAGGAGGGGUCACGGGGGGCCCAGCAUGGAUGGCCAGCGGGCGGCUCUUCACCAGCUGCCUCGCCCUCCACAGAUCGUGGUCAGUGUCCCCCAGAGGAUCGUGGCCCGGCGUGUCCACACAGCCCAGGCCAGCUUCCAGGAGGCCACAGCCUCCAGAGUGACCAUCACCGUGGGAGACAGAAGCUCUAACCUGAGAGGUCCAUGCCGUGGGGAGGUGGAUCCCAGUGUCCCUGAACCCAGAGGCCACCCAGAGCCUAGGACCCCACGGCUGGGCAGGUGCUCUGCCUCCAAGCUGCGCCUGGCCAGCUGUUCCCACCCAGGGGACACUCUGCUCCUGGCCGACACCUUCGCCUCCCUGGGGCCCACCUGUCCCUUGCCUUGGGUGGCCGGGUGUGGUGGCCGCUGGCCAGGCCUCCUGACUCCGCCCGUCUGCAGGCGAGUGCUCCGCUGCCCAGGGGGCGGCCAUCCCGGCUCUGGGGCCCGAGGCCCUCCUCAGCUGCCAUCUUCGGUUCCAGCAAGACGUCUUCGACCUCCCAGUGACAGACGUGUUCUCGGCCGAGCCGGACUUCGACGUCACACUGGGUGAGCCAGGGCUGAGGGGCUCUGCCCACCGCCUUGGGCUGCCCAGUGGUCAUGGCCUGGCUCACCACUGUCCAGCCUGGCCCAGGGCCCUCCUGGGAGUCCGUCCUGUGUGGUGCCACCAGGGCCAGGCCUCUGUCGCUUCUGGGCCCACAGGAGGCUGGCCUUCAGCCACCGCCGCACCCGCAGGACGGUGCAGGGUCAGGAGAGUCAGGGACAGGGUGGGGUGUCAGCGCAGGUAGGGGACAGGGACAAGCAGGACACCCCUGUCUCCGCAGGCCAGUACCUCUGCUCGGUCACCAUGCACAGGCUGACCGACGGGCAGCUGAGGCACUUGAGCUCGAGGAGGACACCCCUGGUGGUCACAGCCUCGGUGGCCGGGGGCCAGACGUCUGUGGAGCAGGUGGGGGCCGAGGUGCCCUUCAGCCCUGGGCUCUACGCUGACCAGACUGAGAUCCUCCUGAGCAACCACCUGUCCAGCCGCGAGGUCAAGGUCUUUGGGGCCGCGGAGAUCCUGGACAGCUUGGAGGUGAGCGGAGGGGUCGGGGCGGACGCAGGGACCACAGUCGGACUUCACGUUGACUACCCGGGUGGUGACCGUCCCCAGCCCUUUUUAUAUUUUAUUUACAGACAGGGUCUCNGGGGGGGGGGGGGGGGGGGGGGGGGGGGGGGGGGUUGGCGUCGGCGUGGUGGUGGCAUCCAGGGUGGCAGCGGCGGCGACUUCGGUGGCCUGUUUCCUGCCGUGGCCUGGUUCCUGCCGUGACCUGGUUCCUGCCUUGGCCUCGUUCCUGCCGGGAGUGAGGUCGGCUUUGGGGGCAGCUAGGGCUGUGUUAGCGGCGGCGGUAGCUUCGUUCCCGCCAGGAAGUAGGGCAGCGGGGAUGGUGUCCGCGUGGGCUUCAGCCGGGGUGGUGCCGGCGGCAGCCUCAUUCCUGCCGCGGGGUAAGGCGGUGGGGCUGGGGUCCGUGUGGGGGGCAGUUAGAGCAGCGGCGGCGGCAGCUACGUUCACGCUGGGCUCCGCACCACCCGGUGUCCGGGAGCUGAGGGUCCUUUUGGCUGCUCCUAUUGCUUGGCGGCUGGGGCGCCGAGCUGUCCGUGGGCGGCCCUCCCCACAAAGGGCAGCGGAGCUGCGUGGUCGCUGGCAGCAGCAGCGGCUGGCCUAUGAGGGCACAGACAUUUGUUGCAGUUCUUGGGGCUUUGUUGUUUUUCCUUGGGCUUUUACCCUUCUUUUCGUUAAUUUUGGAUAAAAUGUCCCCCGUGAUGUAAAGAUUGAGCAAGGAACUUUCGUGAUGUGGGGAGCUUUGCCGAAAGUGCAGGUUGGAUUCUGCUUUUCCUAUGAUGGCGGCUGGAUGAAUCUUCACUGCUGGCCGUGGAAAAGGAUAGAGCAGCUUGUUAGUUGAGUUUUAAAUUUCCCAGUGUUGUUUUUAAAGGUUUUACAUGCAUAGAAGAGGAAUGUUCACCUUAAAUAAGCAUAUGAGCGAUUAACAGGGUAUGUUUUCCUCUGGGAAAGGGAAUUUGGUAGCUCUGACCCAUGUCAGUCUGUGAAUAUUUAGACAUGCAGUGACUUUUUAACAUUUUUUCAUAAAUGUUAUUUGUGAAACAUUUCAUAUAUGUUAUUUAUGAAAUUGUUAUUUACAGUUAUGUUGUUAAUACUCCUUGCCUUUAGUUCCCCGGCAAAUCUUUUUCAUUCCUUGUGAGAAAGUAGACAAUUGAUAGAUUAUCCAAGGAAUGGAGAAAAAUGUGAGUGGGUGAUUUCGGACAAUCCCUGAGAGCUGGCAUUGUAAGAUUCAUCCUAUCCCCAGUAAUAUUUUCAUACAAUAAAUGUGAACACUUUUGAAGACUUUUUAUAGAGAUACAGUUUGGGAAUGAUAUUAAGAUAAGGAAAAGCUGUUGAUUGAUUUCUUAGAUUAACAUUUCUUCCCUCUUCUCUUUUCUCUUUAAAACAGUUUUCCAAGUGAUAACUUCAUCAAAUGGCCAGUGAUAAGCAAAUGUCCGAUGAUGACAGCCCCAGCACCAGCAGUGGCAGUUCAAAGUCGGACCAGGAAGACCCUGCUGCUCCAGAGCCUGAAGAUCAUGAAGAAAGAACCUUCUGCCACCCAGCAGAAGAAGAGCACCAAACUCUCUAGCAAAACCACUGCUAAGUUAUCCACUAGUGCUAAAAGGUAACAUUGUCAGGUUGUCUUCCAAGCAAUUGGAUGCUUUUAUUUUUACAUCAAGAACAAUACUCCAGAAAUACUUCAUGACCAAUUUUAUUUGUACUUGAAUGAAUUGUCAUCCUUUAGGGGACAUGAAAACGUCCUCACUAAAAUUAUGCUUCUAAGCAAACUUAUUCUGUACUUUGGUAAUUUCAGGAAGAGUCCUAGAGACUGAAUUCUCAUCCUGACAGUUUAAGGAGUUGGCCAGGAAAAUUUGUGAAACUGAAUUAGAUGGUAUAUUGGGGAUGUUUC